AGCGUAUAUUAAAGUUGUUGCAGUUAAAAAGCUCGUAGUUGAAUUUCGGGGUCAGUAGGUUGGUCGUGCCACCGGUACGUACUGGUCUCACUGAUUCCUCCUUCCUGAUGAGCUGUAAUGCCAUUAAUUUGGUGUUGCAGGGAAUCUGGACUGUUACUUUGAAAAAAUUAGAGUGUUUAAAGCAGGCUAACGCUUGAAUACAUUAGCAUGGAAUAAUGAAAUAGGACGUUCGAUCCUAUUUUGUUGGUUUCUAGGAUUGACGUAAUGAUUAAUAGGGAUAGUUGGGGGCAUUAGUAUUCAAUUGUCAGAGGUGAAAUUCUUGGAUUUAUUGAGGACUAACUACUGCGAAAGCAUUUGCCAAGGAUGUUUUCAUUAAUCAAGAACGAAAGUUAGGGGAUCGAAGACGAUCAGAUACCGUCGUAGUCUUAACCAUAAACUAUGCCGACUAGGGAUCGGAUGAUGUUAAUUUUUUAAUGACUCAUUC
This 484-nucleotide ribosomal RNA is filed under the name uncultured Glomeromycotina. Its description in RNAcentral is "SSU rRNA". It matches the Rfam family "Eukaryotic small subunit ribosomal RNA", at positions 596 to 1081 of the family's 1831-position model. Lineage: Eukaryota; Fungi; Glomeromycota. The record is from RNAcentral.